GUGGGAACUGUCACUAGCAGAAGGAAGGAGGUACAAAGUCCCAAGUCCUCCCUCUGCUUGGCUGUUUGAGCUCUGGAUGUCAAAAAAGAGAAAGUCGUUAUGGAGACACCAUGGCAGCCACUAAACCACAAGAGUUAACAUGUAUGAGAAUGAGUGGUGGGCCAUGACAGGUUUAUAGGUUUUAUUUUCUCUUUAUUUCAGCUGCCAUUAGCUCUGGAACGGUGCUACCCUGCAGAACUCCUCACUAGUUACCUGUGGCUUCUGAGAUAUGGCUUGUGUGAUUGUAUUAGUUCAUAAACCUUCCACAGCGAAACCCCACAGACUGGGUGGCUUAAACAACAGGAAUUUAUUUUUUCUCAGUUCUGAGGCUAUAAGUCUCAGAUUAAGGUGUUGGUGGGGUUGAUUUCAUUCCGAGGUCUCUCCUUGGCUUGCACAUGGCUGUCUCUUUGCUGUGUGUCCUUGCAUAUUGUCUUUUCUUUGUGCACAUGCAUCCCGGUAUUUCUCUGUGUGUCUUAGUUUCCUCUGCUUAUAAGGACACCAGUUAGAUUGAAUUAAGACCCACCCUAAAAACCUUACUUUAACUUUAACCUCUUUAAAAACUUCAUCUCUAAAUAUAGUUACAUUGUGAGAUAUCAGCUGUUAGGGCUUUAACAUAUGAAUCUUUUGGGGGGGAGCAUAAUUCUGUCCAUAAUAGUGAUUUAAGAGCUAUCAUUUCUAACGUUAUUUAAUUUUAAUUAAUUUGAAUUUGAAGAGCUGCAUGUGGCUAGUGGCCAGUAUUGAGCGGUGCAGCACUGGAAGAUUUACUUACUAGCUCUUCUACUGUGAAUCCAGAAAAUUUUGUAGCAAUGGGAUUCUGCCUUGACCAUCAAUGGAAGGGUUUAACUGAAAUACCACACACUGAGUUGUGUUCUAGGGAUUUUUCACAAUAGAGAUUACUGUGGUGCUUUGGUGAAAUUGCCAAAAUGGUGAAAUCCAAGGCUGGAAGAGACAGAAAAGUAGGUCCCAAGAUUGCAGAUCAAGAGUAGAGCCACUAGCCAGGGUCAGGGGGUGAAACCUAGAAACUGAAUGAGAACAUAAGAAAAUGUGGAAUAAGGUUCCGUGGGUCCUGGACACCUGUUAUAACUCUGAUUGUAAGUGCUCUCAUGAUAUUCUUGACCUGCCAGAAUCCUUGACAACAGUCUCUAGGUUGUGUUCACUCUGUUUGGGAGUAAAUACCAAGUUAAUAGAAGCUUCAAACAGCUUUUCAGGGAGGAUUGUUUCUCUCUUUUCGAACCAUCUAAUCCAUGCCUCUUUUGUCCAGCAGCUUCUGGAUAGGAGGAAGAAUUACAUCUUGAUGACAGCAAACAGGAAAGGGUCCUUGGUAUGUGUGGUCUCCUUAGGUCUCUUCUAUGGCGUGGGUGGCCUGAGUAGGCUCCUUACAUUCAGUGUCUGUGACCACUGAAGUUCAGUUGGAUCUCGCUGGUCUGUGUUGGCCUCAUUGUUGCCUCUGGUCCCCUCCAUGUGUGGUGUGUUCCUGGUUUGCUAGCUCUCUUCGCAAUCCCUUGAUCAUCUCUUUCAAGGCAUCUGGUUUUCUGUUAUUGUCCAUAUUCUGGCACAGGCUCUGAGACCUAGAUGCUACCUCAAGUCCCUUCAUGUUCUCAACAGGAAGCAGUUUUUCCCCCUAAUGAGAGGACUUUGGCAACAUCUGUAGUUGUUUUCAUUUGUUCCUAUGGGUGGGGCACAGGUUGCCUACUGGCAUCUAGAAGCUGAAGAUGCUAUUCAACAUCCUGUACCAAAUCACUUUAUUAUACGGCAGAAAUUACCACAACAUUGUAAAUCAACUAUAUACUUCAAUAAAACUUUACAAACAAGCAAGCAAGCUCAUCCUAUGUUGCAUAGGACAGCCUUCACAGCAAAGAAGUAUUUGACCAAAAUUGCUGAGGUUGAAAACUUCCUUCUAGUCCAUCUUUUUACACACCCCCUUCACCCAUUCCUUAAGGCUUUGGUAGUGACACUAUCUAUCACCCAUCACUCUCAGUCUUUCUCAGUUUUGACCCCAAAGGGGAAUUCAGGAUACUUGUAUCCCAUCUGCUACCCGCUUUCUCUUUAUCAUGUCCUACAUUAGCUCUGCUCCAUGGCUAAUUGAUUUGGGUGCCCAAGGCUUAGCUCCAUCAAGGGGUGCUUUUACUUAUCCACUCUGGUCUUGAAACAAUGAAACAUUUAUUUAAUGGAUGGGGAGAAGAAUCCACUUAGGUGGAAAAAUUAAAUAGUUCAGUAUUUUCCAAGUAGUAUCCCUAUUAAGCCAUGGCCAAUGGAGCUACUGACAAGUAUUAGUGAGCAUAAGGUACAGGGGGUGUUGGGCACAGAGAAGUGUGAUGUCUCAGUGGGUGUCUUCUUGUGUGACCUUGAUCACUCAUGGUUGGAAGGGGGCGCUUGGCUCGGUUGGUUUUAUUAUCAGCACAACUGCCCAUCCCUUCUUCUACGUAGCUUAAAUCACAUCCUGACCUUGCUCCUGAUAGCUGCUGGCUUGAGAGAAUGAGAGAUGGGAGUAGAGGGAAAGACCCUCCCUGCUCCUCCCUCUGUGCUCCACCCCCUUCCCUGACCCCUCCCACCCCAGCCCCAGCAUACACACACACGCAAGUACACAUGUAACUCACAAGGAGGUAGCAUCCCUGAGAAAUGGUGCUGAGAGGCAGAAGAUCCCUGCUUCCUUGGGGCUCCCUCUUGCCACCUUGGCCUCUGUCCCACUGAGGACCAUGGUUGGCUCCAAACUCAGCACUUCCUGGGCCACGCCAGGUAUUUUCCUUUGUCCAUGUGACGCAGGAGAGCUGCUGGCCUGCGAGCCUGAGUGCACGUCUCCUUUGCCGCCACCUCAAGGAAACAGAAUCCUUGCGGCUGGGGUUUGGCAAAGCAUAGAGCAUUUCAAAUCAGGCUGGGCCAAAAAUGCAGGUCUAGUUUUCUUUUUAUACCUAAAAGCUUUUUAAAAUAUCUUUAAAUUUGUUCUUCAAGAAGAAAUAAACCUUUAUUAGGCCCUAUGUAUGGCUGUAAAUUUGAUUGACCAGAUGUUUGUCAGAUUUAAUACACGCUAUUUAAAAUGUUGCUUUCUACAUCUUGACUGAGGCUUUUCUGGUGAGGAAGGAGCCAGUUUAUAGGAAACAAUGAAAUCAUUUUUUACACCUUACAGAUGCUCUAAUCCCAUUACAGACUGAGGUGUUUAAAAUUCUUGGUGUUUUCUUGCUUUAUUUUUAUGGUAUGGGUGAUUCCAUGGGAGAAGGACCAGGCAAGAAAAUAUUUAAAUAAGGUACAAGUUGGGGGGCAGAGGUGGGGGGUGGAAUACAGGGAAUGGCUGAGGGUUAUUUUCUGUAUUUGAUUUGCUUUCCAGCCAUGGCUACUGGCUACAGCUGAAAGGCCACUGCUAGAACUUUGAUCAGCGAUGCCAAGCUCUUGGACCAUAGUCCAAGAAGCUGCUAUGCAGAAGAAUUGGGGCUAGUUUUUCUCCAGUCCUGCUAAACAGAAUGUGGCUUCCAUAAUCCCCUACCCCUCUCUCCUGAAAACAAAUCAUUCGUGUGUUUCCUAAAAGUCUCACAGACUCAAAUGCCUACAAGGACCAGGCAGAUACCAAAAAUUGCCGAGGUGAGCCAGACAGCUCUCUGUGGUAAAGCGGGGAUUCUGGGCCCACCCAAGAAACAGUGGGUCCUUAGCCAUAGCAUCUCAGUGCUCUGUGGGAACGUGAGCCCUGUAAAGGGAUGCCCAUGAGAAAUGUCCCAAUUUUAAGCAAACAAAAUUCAUCUGGAGGGUGUAUUCUGCCUGAGGACAGCGGGUUUCAAAUCUGAUAAAAUGUGUGUAAAUAGAAAUAUACCGUGUAUAGAUAAUCAGUCCCCACAUUUGAAUGCUUAGAACUAGUAAAAGGGCUUUUAAGUUUUGGAAGCUGACACAGGACCUGUCAGCCUUUUAUUUUAUAGAAAAGUGCUAAGCAAAUGCUGUUACUAUUUGCUGUCACCAACAGGUUUCAUUAAACAAAGAAUAUUAGUUCCCCCCCCAAAGAAGAGUAGGGAGAAGACCAUCUCAGAUUUAAAAAUGGCCUUUCAGAUGAAUAAUUUUAUUUUUCUGGAACAUCCUCAAACUCUCUAUUCUUUUCUGAUUUUCUGGUGAACACCUCACCAUGGUCCAGUGGCAAUCUACAGACCGUUGCCAAAACUCUCCCACCCGGUAAUAUUAGGACAGUUUGUUUUCUCCAACUACUUCCACCACGAGGGUGUUCAUAGGUUUUGUCCAGUGAUGAAUUAGGUCUGUAAUUAUUUAGGUUCCAUAAAGGAGAAAGGUCUUUUUUUUUUAUUAGUACAAACAAAAA
This 4330-nucleotide long non-coding RNA is filed under the name Sus scrofa (pig). RNAcentral's name for it is "lncRNA (ENSSSCG00040014086.1)". Lineage: Eukaryota; Metazoa; Chordata; Mammalia; Artiodactyla; Suidae. The record is from RNAcentral.